AUCUCUUCUUGCGUCCAAAUUCCCUCUUACAAGGACGCCAGGCAGACUGGAUUAGGAUCUGCCCAGAUGGCCUCAUUUGACCUUGAUUACCUCUGUAGAGGUCCUCUCUCUACAGUCCUGUUCUAAAGUACUGAGAGUUCAGCCUUUAACAUAUGAAUUUGGGGAGGGGAGCUCAAUUCAGCCCCUAACAGUUCUCAUUAUCCUAUUUAUAACAUCAGAGUAAGUAAGUCCCUUUAUAGUAUUUGUAAAGGGCGUUUUAUGAAUUCCUCUUUACAUUAUUUGACCACUUUACCUUGUUGAUUAUAAUAAUAAUGAAUGUUUAACAUUUAUUUAAUGCUCACUACCUGUCCAGCUGGCACUGAUUAUUUUAUUUGAAUUUUAGCAUUUAAGCUGCAGAUAACUGCUAUCAUUCCCAUUGCACUGAUGGGAAGACUGAGAUUUGGAGAUGUUCGUGGGCUCGCCAAGUUCACGACUAGUACCUGCCUGCACAAGAGCUCUGUAAGCCGGUACUGUAGCUGCUAUGGGAUUUCUUGGGAGAAGGGCAAGUGGAUACUUCCCUUACCAGGUUUUAACCUCCUAGAUGGCAGCUCCCCAUAUUCCUCUUUAUCUUUCUAGCAUUUUAGUUCAGUGCCUGGCAAAUACUUGGUACUCAAUUCAUACUGAGUGAUGCUGGGUGGUUUAAAUCACUGUUAUUUUCUUCUGAAAGAUAAGGACACUAACUGCUCCAUUUAAGAGUGAAAUGACCUGGUAACGUUUGUAGGAAAAACAGAGAAACACAUGUUGGGUCUUCUUCUAAAAAUACUUGUUAGGAGUGCCUGGGUGGUUCUGUUGGUGAGGCGACCUUGCUUUCUGCUCAGGCCAUGGAUCUCACAGUUCCUGGGAUCAGACCCCAUAGGGCUCUGUGCUGUCAGCAGGGAGCCUACCGGGAUUCUGUCUCUCUUCCUUUCUCUGCCCCUGGCCUGCUUGCGCUCACUUGCUCUCUCCCUCGAAAUAUUAAAAAAAAAAAAAAAAAAGAAAACUUAUUAGAGUUCUCUGAAAAGAACACCCCAACUCAGAGCUUCCCCCCACCCCCGGCAAUCAGAUAUUUAUUUAAUAACUCAGAGCCAGUUUGAUAUUAAGGGAACUUAGUGUUGUUUUCAGAAUAGCCACAACAGUAUUUUAAAAUUUAUAAUGAAGGGGAACCUGGGUGGCUCAUUCGGUUGAGCCUCCGACUCUUGAUCUCUGCUAAGGUUGUGAUCUUGCAGUUUUGUGAGUUCGAGCCCCGUGUCAGGCUGUGUGCUCAUGGCAGAGAGCCUGCUUGGGAUUCUGUCUCUCCUUCUCCCUCCCUCCCGCAUUUGUGCUCUCACUCUUGCUCUCUCUCUCUCUCUCUCUCUCUCUCUCAAAAUAAAUCAAAGUUAUUAAAAUUGGGGCACUGGGUGGCUCAGUUGGUCGAGCGUCUGUCUCAGCUCAGGUCACGAUCUCAUAGUCAUGUGUUCAAGCCCAGCCUCAGGCUUGGUGCUGCGUGUGGAGCCUGCUUGAGACGCUCUCUCCCUCUUUCUCUCUCUUUUUCUCUCUCUGUCUCUCUCCCUCUGCCGCUGUCCCCCACUUGCGCACACACACUAUCUCUUUUUAAGAAAAAAAAGAAUAACAAAUAUUAAAAUCUAUAAUAAAAAAACCUACCUCUGCGGGCAAGCAAUUACCAUGAUGUGUGUCUGCAAACUUGAAGAUCACACAUGCACCUGGGCUUUGCUGGUUGUGUCCCUGCACCACCUCCCCAUGUGCUUUCACGUUUUGGACGGUUUCGGCUUCAGCUCUGAACGGAGGGCCCUGGGGUCUCAGUGAGCUUUCCGUUAGAAUCCGAUUCACUGUUGUUCCUCCUUCAGCCGUCUGGAUACGCCUGUGAGGAAAUGGGAAGCAGCGGUGCUUUAUCAAAGCACAGAAUGAUGAAAUCCUAAGCACUUCAAAGGAUUCCUAGUUUUUCCACUUAGAAAUCGAAUGGGAUCGCGUUGCUCUUUGCCCCUAUUAUUGUAGUCAAUUCUGUGUUGACUUAAUAGGCCUCCUUUGACUUUUCGUCUUGUAAAAAUAGGAUAGAGGCUGUUUACUGGUAAUUUCUUAAACGCAGAGGUGUUUCACCUUGGUCUAAAUAGGUGUUGUCAAUGGACGCACCUGCUCGUAAGAUACAUAUUUGCAUAUUUUUAUACAUACACGUAAAACCCACUAGUUCUGCCACUUAAUACAUGUUUUAAAGAAAUAAUUUUAUCUUUUUUUUUUUUACCAUUUAAUUUGCUUAUCUGGAGACAGUAAGUCUGAACGAUUUCAGAGGUAACCUGGAGAAAUAAAUUGCAGUUUGGAAAGAAGCUUAAGUGUCUGCUGAAGGAUUUUAUAAUUGAUAUUAUUUUUGUUUCCACCAACAGACUAUGGAAAGUAAUAGAAAAAAUCACAAGCGAACAAGGUCCACGCCUCGUGCUCAACGGUUCAAGUGUAAUUCUGUUUCAAUAUACAUGCCUUAAGUUCAAUUCUGGAUGUGAUUGGACCCACAAAAGGCAGGGACUCCACGAACUCAUUACAAUCAAAUGGGACUUGAAUUCUCUUGUCUAAUGUCAUAAUAAGCAAUUAUGAGCAUCUUCUCAGGCAUUCAAAUAGGGUAAUAGUGAAACCCUAGAGAGACAUUAUAUGCUGGCAGACUCUGGCUGAUGUGAUGGGCAUAUGCUCGAUGGACCCCUAAAGGCACGAUGGGUAGCUAGAUGCCAGGGCAAAUUGCCCUCGGUAUUUAGGGUAGACACUACCUUCAAUUACGACUUGUGUUUUAUAAGCUGAGCCGUUAUAAUAAUAUGUGUGUUCAUUCUGGAGAAUUCUCUGUGGCAACAGAACAAACAGCCUUUCUCAUCCAGUUCCCAUUUUCAUGAGAGAACAGCAAAUGAAACUUGUCUUUUAACUUCGCAUUUCUCUGAUGGCGGAGGCUGGGAAGAUACAAGUUGCUGCUCUCUGCUGCCAUUUCAUUAAGUUAAAUGUGCUUUUGUCCACUCUGGGAAAGGUAGCAGAUUUUGCAUUACCAGGGGGACUAUUUGAAGAGAUAAUUAGAUAAGUAAAUACUCGCCAACCUGCGCCAAGAUGUUGAGUAGAGCCUGUUACUUAUUGGAAAUUUCCCCUGCAAACAAAUUUAACUGAAUUGUCGUCUUCUUUUCAGCUGAGUCCUUGGAGCAACAUGAGACGAUCUCUCUCUUUUUCCACUAGUUAGAAAAGGAGGUUCAACCAGAUGACUUCUAAGGGAGAUUCCUGCUCAAAAUGUAUGAGUCAACGAAAUAGUGAUAAGACGUCAUUAAUACAUACUGUAGAACUAUCUAAAUUGGAUAUCUGUAGAAGAAUGUACUUUCCAUAAGGACCCAGGCUACAUGAUCAGCCUGCUGCAUGGUUGGUCUGAUCUGUGAUGGCAGCGUUGGUCACUGAAACAGAAGCCUGGUGUGGACAUCCAUGCAACGAUCGUCAGACUGUCCUCCGAACCAAACCUCAGCUGCAUCCCAAGUAGUAUCUUCGAUGCAGGCAAAUCAUUAAGGGAUUCCAUUUUGGCUCUUUUUAACCAUCAAAAAUCAGUUUGGUUUUAGUGCAAAAUAUACUUACCCUCCCAACUUCUAUCUUCAUGGGAAAAAUUGAACCAGCAUUUCCAAAAGAGAAGAAAGAAGCUUAGCCAUUUCCCUCUACCAUUUCCUCAAUUUGAUUCAUUCUGAGUCUUAUGAUAUUAAGGAUAGCAUCAUCCUAAGUAAGAUAAGUAAAGUCCAGCAAAGUGAUUGGCGGGAUAAUGGAAGAAAAUGUGGAUGCCCUGUGUGUUGGGGGGGGAGAGAUGGACAUUUCCAAGGGAAGUGAUGAACCAACAACAUGGAGGUCAUGGGAAUUGCUGUCACAACUUCUAGAGAUCAGCCAAAAAGCACGAAGUGAGUUUUCUUUUUAAUUUUAAAUAUUCUGCAUAAAAAUGUGGGGUAAUAUCACUGUUACAUGGGCUUAAAAGUUCACCGGUAAGCCUGGGCAUUCUAUUUGUUAGUUGAUCACUAGUGUCUUGAGUCACCUGCACCAGGAACCACAGCUUGAAAGCACCUGCAUCUAAAAUAAUAUCCUGUGCCUACAUUGACAGCAUGGGUACCAGGUAAGCUGUUGUCCAAUCUCACACUAUUGAGAAUUUUCCAGAAAGGGACAUAUUUAAUUCAGGCUGCCAUACAAUAAGUAACAUGGUCCUCUCUCUUCUAAUACACUCACAGGUACGUUUGAUAGGGGGUGAGGAUACACAGCUGACUGGCCAGCUCGUGCCACCCGGUGAAUGUUCCAUGACAGGUACUGGCUUCAGCAGUCUUGAUUCCAGAGUUUCUUUGACCAAUGAUUACCACGUGGCUUCCAUAUUCCCUGUCUUUGAAUGGGAGUUUCUAUUACGGUUUUCCUGUUCCUGGUGUACAAUUGUAUGUUGGGGAGAUGAGGGAGAGAAAGUCUAUCUCAUAUGCUCACAGGUCUCCAAAUCAAGUGGGAGGGUGCCUGAUGAAUGUCCUCUGCACCUAGAUUUAGGGGGGUGGCCGUACUUCUCACAGGGAAGCUGGGCUCCCAGAAAAUGCAAAAAGCCAGAGCUGUCAGGCCUUCUCCAGCCUCAGGCCUGGAGCUGGGACAACAUUGCUUCCAUCGUUUUGUUGUUCGAUGCAAGUUUCAGGCCCAGCCCAGAUUUAAGGAGCAGGCACUACACAGAGGUGUAAAUACUAGGGGGUGUGGUUUCUCUUGGCACGCCACUGUAAGGGACUACAAAGUGCGAUCCUCAGUGCCUACAGACGGAAGCAGCAAGUCUAAAAACGAAGCUUGCAGAACACUCAUGUGGCUCGUGCAAAAUGUGGAGAUGUCAAGAAAGGAAGAUGGCUGUGUAAUGACGGAUGCUAGUCUCCCAAGGACGGACUAAGUAGGAAAAGAGGGCCCCUGGAGGAAGGAAGACUAUCCCAGUUGUCAUCUGGAACAUUCAUUGUUUUGACUGAACUCAUCCGUUGCAGUAUCAUAGAAGAGAAUGAAUUUUAUCCCAACUGCUGUGAAUUACGCUUUAGAAAAAUCAGACUCUGGAUGUAGAAAUCAUCUGUUUCAGGAGUGAAUGCGUUCCUGAAAAGUUCUUAUUCUUGAUGCCGAUGUCUUGUAAAGACUUAUAAAGUAAAAGGAAACAAAAGGGGCGUGCUAUCCCUACCAAACCUUAGGUAUUUUAGCUCAGGGCCACAGCCCUGCAGAGGAAGACAGGUAUCGGAAGCAAUCUUGGACGUCGGAAGACCUCCGUUUACACUUCUGUUAUCCUGUUGUUUUAUGUAUUAUUCAAGGUCCUGCCAAAAUAGGAAUUAAAGGGCAGCUGUCAAAAUGACAGCUUAAAAAUAA
Long non-coding RNA from Neofelis nebulosa (Clouded leopard), 5361 nucleotides. RefSeq lists it as uncharacterized. The record is from RefSeq and is a predicted model, not a curated record. The transcript is spliced from 5 exons. NCBI's taxonomy places the organism in Eukaryota, Metazoa, Chordata, Mammalia, Carnivora, Felidae.